Molecule: long non-coding RNA, 493 nt
Organism: Ictalurus punctatus (channel catfish)
Lineage: Eukaryota; Metazoa; Chordata; Actinopteri; Siluriformes; Ictaluridae
Source: Ensembl
GUGAGUGAGUAGUGAGUGAGUGAGUGAGUGAGUGAGUGAGUGAGUGAGUGAGUGAGUGAGUGAGUGAGUGAGGGAGUGAGUGAGUGAGUGAUUGAGUGAGUGAGUGAGUGAGUGAGUGAGUGAGUGAGUGAGUGAGUGAGUGAGUGAGUGAGUGAGUGAGUGAGUGAGUGAGUGAGUGAGUGAGUGAGUGAGUGAGUGAGUGAGUGAGUGAGUGAGUGAGUGAGUGAGUGAGUGAGUGAGUGAGUGAGUGAGUGAGUGAGUGAGUGAGUGAUGAGUGAGUGAGUGAGUGAGUGAGUGAGUGAGUGAGUGAGUGAGUGAGUGAGUGAGUGCGUGAGUGAGUGCGUGAGUGAGUGAGUGCGUGAGUGAGUCUGUGAGUGAGUGAGUGAGUGCGUGAGUGCGUGAGUGAGUGCGUGAGUGCGUGAGUGCGUGAGUGCGUGAGUGUGCGUGUGCGUGAGUGAGUGCGUGAGUGCGUGAGUGAGUGCGUGCGUGCGUG